AUACUUACCUGGCAGGGGAGACACCUUGAUCACAAAGGAGGUUUUCCAGGGUGAAGUUCAUCCAUUGCACUCUGGGAGUGCUGACCCUUGUGAUUUCCCCAAAUGUGGAAAACCUGACUGCAUAAUUUGUAGUAGUGGGGGACUGCAUUUGUGCUUUCUCCUA
Heteronotia binoei (common prickly gecko) is the source of this 163-nucleotide small nuclear RNA. RefSeq annotates it as U1 spliceosomal RNA. The record is from RefSeq and is a predicted model, not a curated record. NCBI's taxonomy places the organism in Eukaryota, Metazoa, Chordata, Lepidosauria, Squamata, Gekkonidae. The transcript has a single exon.